CCUGCAUUUUUUUGCACUAACGUAGUCUUUUGUAUUUCGUUUAUUCGUCCAGAAAGAUACCGUCAAAAACUAUUUUUUGAUUGAUUUUGAGUCAUUUUUCUGAAGUUGGAUAAGCUGAAGUAAAACCUAAUUAACAAUCAAAGUGUAUCCAGUUACUGAAAAUCGGACUUCUGCUGAAAAUAUGGGGGAUUUAAAAACACUUGUACUAAUCAUAUUAAUUAUUGUGAUCAGCCUUAUAUUUGCCGCUGCUGCUAAAUUUAUUACAUUCAUUUGUUGCUCGAAGAUUCGUAAAGCAAUGCUGGACUGCUUGGAUAAAAGAAGAAAUACACGUGUUCAACAGGAAGAUGUAGCCAACUCAAUUCCCCUCCGGGAAGCCAAUGGAUCAAUCGUUGCUGUUAGUGUACCCGAAAGAGAAGAUAAUCAAGAACAGGCUUUUUAAAGGAAAUGAUUUAUAAAUCUCGUAAUCACCAAAUAUUACCUAUAAAGCAAUGAUGUCAUAUAUAAUAUUGCUUUAAAAAUAAAUAUUUAAAGGCAUAAUUUUAUUCAUCUCAAUUAUUAUUUUAUCAUUAUCUUUAUUCACUGAGUUGCAAAAGAUUUGUAAUUUCUUGACCUUUAAUAAA
Stegodyphus dumicola is the source of this 620-nucleotide long non-coding RNA. RefSeq lists it as uncharacterized. The record is from RefSeq and is a predicted model, not a curated record. NCBI's taxonomy places the organism in Eukaryota, Metazoa, Arthropoda, Arachnida, Araneae, Eresidae.